Molecule: ribosomal RNA, 468 nt
Filed under: uncultured bacterium
Lineage: Bacteria
Description: partial 16S ribosomal RNA
Rfam family: Bacterial small subunit ribosomal RNA
Source: RNAcentral
GACGAACGCUGGCGGCGUGCUUAACACAUGCAAGUCGAACGGAAAGGCCCUGCUUUUGUGGGGUGCUCGAGUGGCGAACGGGUGAGUAACACGUGAGUAACCUGCCCUUGACUUUGGGAUAACUUCAGGAAACUGGGGCUAAUACCGGAUAGGAGCUCCUGCUGCAUGGUGUGGGUUGGAAAGUUUCGGCGGUUUGGGAUGGACUCGCGGCUUAUCAGCUUGUUGGUGGGGUAGUGGCUUACCAAGGCUUUGACGGGUAGCCGGCCUGAGAGGGUGACCGGCCACAGUGGGACUGAGAUACGGCCCAGACUCCUACGGGAGGCAGCAGUGGGGAAUAUUGCACAAUGGGCGGAAGCCUGAUGCAGCAACGCCGCGUGCGGGAUGACGGCCUUCGGGUUGUAAACCGCUUUCGCCUGUGACGAAGCGUGAGUGACGGUAAUGGGUAAAGAAGCACCGGCUAACUACGUG